UGGUGAUGUUUCUUUCUCGAUGCGAAAUUGAAACCCUGGAACAUGACAGUUUGGUGGAAUGGGUUGGUGGAACUGCUGGUUCCAUACCUGUUCCUACUUCAGGAGGUGUCCUGAAGAAUAGAAGUACCUUCUAG
Molecule: long non-coding RNA, 134 nt
Filed under: Fukomys damarensis (Damara mole-rat)
Lineage: Eukaryota; Metazoa; Chordata; Mammalia; Rodentia; Bathyergidae
Description: lncRNA (ENSFDAG00000024934.1)
Source: RNAcentral